RNAcentral lists this transfer RNA (73 nucleotides) under Actinoplanes awajinensis subsp. mycoplanecinus. It matches the Rfam family "tRNA". Rfam says of the family: Transfer RNA (tRNA) molecules are approximately 80 nucleotides in length. Their secondary structure includes four short double-helical elements and three loops (D, anti-codon, and T loops). Lineage: Bacteria; Bacillati; Actinomycetota; Actinomycetes; Micromonosporales; Micromonosporaceae. The record is from Rfam by way of RNAcentral.
GCCGUUGGCGCCCGAGCGGACGGGCACCGGACUUUUAAUCCGGACUGUGGGGGUUCGAACCCCUCCGGCGGCA